AGUAGAGGGCGCUAAAGAGACACUACAGGAACAAGGGGCUUUUCUCUUGGUUUUACUCCUGGUGUCUGACCUCCAGCAGUGCACAUGUAGGCUCAUCAGUCAGGCCAUGUGCCAUCAAGAUCCCUACAGUGUACAGUCCUUCUCCCGGAUCCUCUGCCUAGACUCAGAGACCCCUUGCCUUCACCCUUGUAACGUACCAGUUUUACACAGACCUCCUGAUCACUUUCCACCUACAGCUGGCUGACAAGGCGGCAGGACUUUGUUUCUUAAAGCCCUCCAAGUGUGAAUGCCUACUGUGUAUGGUCACGGGACAAGUCAAGAGAAGAAAUUUUACUUUGAUUCAUCAUUAAAGAGAGACUUGAAUCCAUCACUACAAGAGGAAUGCACAGGCAGCUCUUCACCUGACCAUUGUCCAGGAAGCAGAGUUCAGGAUUAGAGCCACAAGAGGAUAUAAAUUUCACGGGCCUGCCCCUGGUGGCCCAUCUAGUCUAGCAUCUCCUCAGGAGUCUACAGCCUUCAAAGCAGCCCCCACAAACUGGGGAAUCAAGUGUUUAAAACAUGAGACUAAGAAUGCCAUUUAGAUUCAGAGCAAAACAGACAAAAGACUAAGCCCAGGAAAACAAUUAAGGCUUGAGAAUUGUGUGUGAGAACAGCAUCCAAGUUAGGAGGCCUGCAAAGCUGCUUUGUAGCCAUACACAAGUGACUGGCAACUGCUGACAAGCCACCACAGACAGGAUCAAGAGCAUGAGUUACUCCAGGCUUUGGGCUUUGGGAGGCAGCAAUUUUUAUUGGGGGGGGGGGUGAGGGUUAGGGAAAGGGUUCCCUGUUCUACAUCAGGUGAUCAUGUCAACCACCGUCAUGGUGCUGAAGGACCUGCUAAAUCUGGCCUUGUUCCUGCCUUGGCAGGCUGCCAGGCAUAGCCAGGAUGAUGGAGGGGUGUUUUUACAAGUGUCAAGCCCCAGGAACAUCGUCUUCAUCCUGUCUGAUAAAGCCCAGAGUCCGACAAGCAUCAGGGAAAAACACAGGUUCUAGUUCCAUUCCAACCCCUGCAGGCCUGCUCACUAAAAACUUCUGACAAUGUCAACUUAAUAGUUGUAAUUUCUCAGUCUUUAUGUUUGAGAAACCAUUCGGGGAUGUAGUUUUCACUUUGAGUAGUUUUUUUUUUUUCUUCUUCUUCUUCUUCUUCUUUCAGAUUUCCCUUCCUCAAGCAGCGUGAGAAAGAAAAGCAAGGUACAAGCAGCCAGAAGCCAGACACCAAGAAGGAGGUGAUGACUGCUCCAUCAAGGGAAACAAGGGGUUACUGUGGGCCCCUGGUGGUGGCCUGGAGGGCAGGGACAAGGGCAUUGUGAUCUGUGAGUGACUCCUGCCUCCAGGGGGAGAGAGGGACAGAGAAUGUGGUGGUAUUCCUUGUGCACCCAAUUAUGGUGCUUAUCUUCGAAUGGUCAGGAACUCAUGAAUCAAAUGCAAAAUAGGGGCAUGCACAUCGUGAAGUUUCUUUGGAAAAAAUUCAGGAAGUUGGUUCAUUUGAGGACAUUAUUAACAAAUAAGAGCAGGUAAAUUUUACAGAAUUUAAAACAUUGAAGCAAAUUAGAUAUUUUCCUGUGCAAUAAGUUUAAAGGAAAAAAAAAAGACUUUAAAAAAAAA
This 1644-nucleotide long non-coding RNA is filed under the name Mus caroli (Ryukyu mouse). RNAcentral's name for it is "RIKEN cDNA 4921539H07 gene (MGP_CAROLIEiJ_G0005634.1)". The record is from RNAcentral. Lineage: Eukaryota; Metazoa; Chordata; Mammalia; Rodentia; Muridae.